Molecule: ribosomal RNA, 492 nt
Filed under: uncultured bacterium
Lineage: Bacteria
Description: partial 16S ribosomal RNA
Rfam family: Bacterial small subunit ribosomal RNA
Source: RNAcentral
AGUGAACGCUGGCGGUAGGCCUAACACAUGCAAGUCGAACGGCAGCACAGUAAGAGCUUGCUCUUACGGGUGGCGAGUGGCGGACGGGUGAGGAAUACAUCGGAAUCUACUUUUUCGUGGGGGAUAACGUAGGGAAACUUACGCUAAUACCGCAUACGACCUACGGGUGAAAGCAGGGGAUCUUCGGACCUUGCGCGAUUGAAUGAGCCGAUGUCGGAUUAGCUAGUUGGCGGGGUAAAGGCCCACCAAGGCGACGAUCCGUAGCUGGUCUGAGAGGAUGACCAGCCACACUGGAACUGAGACACGGUACAGACUCCUACGGGAGGCAGCAGUGGGGAAUAUUGGACAAUGGGCGCAAGCCUGAUCCAGCCAUACCGCGUGGGUGAAGAAGGCCUUCGGGUUGGAAAGCCCUUUUGUUGGGAAAGAAAAGCAGCAGGUUAAUACCCCGCUGUUCUGACGGUACCCAAAGAAUAAGCACCGGCUAACUUCGUG